UGCGGCGGCCAUGGCCCAGGGGAGACGCCCGGACCCAUUCCGAACCCGGAAGCGAAGACCUGGCACGGCGAUGGUACUGCAUUCGACAGGAUGUGGGAGAGUAGCACGCCGCCG
This 114-nucleotide ribosomal RNA is filed under the name Bifidobacterium boum. Lineage: Bacteria; Bacillati; Actinomycetota; Actinomycetes; Bifidobacteriales; Bifidobacteriaceae. The record is from RNAcentral.